CCUACGGGAGGCAGCAGUGGGGAAUUUUGGACAAUGGGCGCAAGCCUGAUCCAGCCAUGCCGCGUGUCUGAAGAAGGCCUUCGGGUUGUAAAGGACUUUUGUCAGGGAAGAAAAGGACAGGGUUAAUACCCCUGUCUGAUGACGGUACCUGAAGAAUAAGCACCGGCUAACUACGUGCCAGCAGCCGCGGUAAUACGUAGGGUGCGAGCGUUAAUCGGAAUUACUGGGCGUAAAGCGAGCGCAGACGGUUACUUAAGCAGGAUGUGAAAUCCCCGGGCUUAACCUGGGAACUGCGUUCUGAACUGGGUGACUAGAGUGUGUCAGAGGGAGGUAGAAUUCCACGUGUAGCAGUGAAAUGCGUAGAGAUGUGGAGGAAUACCGAUGGCGAAGGCAGCCUCCUGGGAUAACACUGACGUUCAUGCUCGAAAGCGUGGGUAGCAAACAGGAUUAGAUACCCUAGUAGUC
Molecule: ribosomal RNA, 465 nt
Filed under: uncultured Neisseria sp.
Lineage: Bacteria; Pseudomonadati; Pseudomonadota; Betaproteobacteria; Neisseriales; Neisseriaceae
Description: bacterial SSU rRNA
Rfam family: Bacterial small subunit ribosomal RNA
Source: RNAcentral